Hyla sarda is the source of this 3426-nucleotide RNA transcript. RefSeq lists it as uncharacterized. The record is from RefSeq and is a predicted model, not a curated record. NCBI's taxonomy places the organism in Eukaryota, Metazoa, Chordata, Amphibia, Anura, Hylidae. The transcript is spliced from 5 exons.
UUUAAAUAUACUGGUAUUAUUUUGCCCUUUCUUUGGAUUUAUUAUUGAUUUCCUGUAUCUUUACAGAAGGUUUGUCCAUCAUGGACUUUCGGGCUAAGGAAGCUUCUUGGUUGGAGCAGGCUAAUCUUUUAUUCUCUGGGACAGCGAUAGCCAGUAAUGAUCCGGAUCAGUGCAAUAUUAGAGAACUGAAACAAUCUCUAAGGAAUCUAUCACACCGACAGAUGAAGACCUGGUGGAACCGGGCCUCUUUGGAGAACUACCUACAUAAACAUCUAAUACCUCGAGGACUACGAGUACAGAUUUUUCCCUCUUUUGGCCUUGACCAAGAAGUCUAUGUUAAGAAGUGGGAAGAGGCAUGCAAUACUUGUUCCAGGACACUCAUGAUGAUCAUCAUGGAACAUAAUACACAGGUACUCAUGGAGCUAGGUAUACAAAUUGAGAAGACAGAGACAGAUAUUGCUGCCAUCCUGCCAAAUAAUGACUACCCAUCAUUCAAGCAAGACUUGGAGGAAUCCCAAACCAUCUGGGAAAAACAAAUUAAGGCUACAAAAUCAAAAAAAUUCUUAAGAGACUCUAAUGACUUCUCUAAUAACAAGGUGUAUAAGUGGAAACGGGGUCCAGUGGAGAGACGACAAAGAUCACCUUCAGUCUCAUCAUCCGUUUCCACAGGAGUGGAAUCUGUGGCGUCAUCCAGGUCCUCUGCGAGAAAUGCACAAUAUGAUGGGAGACGACGCAACUACCGCAACAAAGCAAACACAAGAAAUGAAAGGCAGGAGAGAGUCAACACCAGGAGCAACGAUACUAACCGUAAGCGGUAAAAGAUCUGCAAUUAUUCGCACGGAAAUUAAUCUUUAAGAAACUGUUUCAUCCCUCCCCUAUACAAGCACCUUUAUCUUCAGCUCAGGCACCAGCAUCUCCCAAUACGAUCGCAGAAACUGAGGCACUACAAGCUCUUCAAGAUCUCCUAGAAGAACAGGAUACAUCAAAUACGGGAUACCACAGAUAUCCUAAAAAGAAUGGACGAUGUUCAAUUGGACAACGAAACCCUUCUGGUCACCUGUGAUGUGGAAGCUCUGUAUACAUCAAUCAGACACACGGAUGGAUUGGCGGCAACCCAAUUUUACCUUAUGAUGUCGGAUUUAGAUCCAGAACUGAGUGAGUUCAUUUUACAACUUCUUCAGUUCGCAUUAAUGCAUAACUUCUUUUUGUUCAGGGAUGUGGUCUUCCUACAGCUCCAGGGAACGGCGAUGGGGGCGGCCUGUGCGCCCUCAUACGCCAACCUUUUCCUGGGGCUGUGGGAGAGGACCAUAUUCAUGACUGAACCCGCCCCCCAUAUUGAAAAAGUUCUACAGUGGGGCCGCUAUAUAGAUGACAUUCUCUUUGUCUGGCAGGGCACGGCAGAAGAGUUGUCCACAUUUAUGACAUAUCUGAACACUAAUGAACUAAACAUAAAAUUGACCUAUAAAUGGGGGAGGUCGAAAAUGGAGUUCCUGGAUGUAUUGUUUGAUGUUGACCAAGAUGGGUAUAUCUCAACAGAUGUGUAUCGCAAAAAAACCUCUACCAAUACUCUUCUUCACGCUUCCUCUUCUCACCCCCAUGCACUUGUCUCCAAUAUCCCGACAGGUCAGUUCCUGCGAAUCCGACGGAUUUGUUCCACGGAUGAACACUUUGAAAAACAGGCUAAUGAUCUAUCUCUACGCUUUCAGGAACGGGGAUAUCAUGAAAGGGAUAUCACCAGAGGCUAUGCACGAGCUAAGGAUACACUACGAGGCAAUCUGCUUACCCAGUCCAAAAAGAAAAAGGGAAAUGACCAGGAGUGAUCUACUACGCCACCUGUCCUUGUAACAUGAUUUAUGUUGGACUUACCUGCAGGGAAUUCCGUCGGAGAAUACGGGAACAUGUCCUAGGAAUUGAAGCAGCCAAGGAGGAAAUAGAUCUACAGAAGCUAAAAACCAUACCCCGCCACUUUCGUCAGUACCAUGAUUGCAACAGUACCCUCUUCAAGGGUUUCAAAAUUGGUCUCGUAUCCAAAAGAGUCUGGAAAUUUGAAGAGAGCAUUGAUGACCAUCAGCAGCAAAGCACUUGUCACUUUAUUGAGUAGAGCCACCAGUAAUCGGGUAUUAUAGGAAUUAUUGCUAUACAUAGUAUUGUUGAAUAAAAUUAUUGAUAUAUAUUCCUCUGUCUUUGGAGGUGUUGAUUAACAGUUGUUUUGUCUGAUACACUUCGACAUAUAUACAUACAGCCACUAAUUAUCUAAUUCUUAUACAUAAUAAAUGUUUAUAUUGUUCAUUCACCUCUAGUACACGAUAGGCUAUGGGGUACAUCACUUUUCCCAUUCAACAUCACUAACACCCAAGUCCGCACAUAUACUAUUUGUAUCUACUUUAUAAACUACUUUUAUAUACGUCAAGCAUUCACUAUACACUUUAAUAAAUCACAUAUCUUCACUUAUACACACUUAUCACUUUAACCCCCCUUAUUUCGCUUUUUUUAGCGAAGAAUUCAGUCAGCAACACUACAACAUUAGGUUCAUUAUUUUGUAUGUGUCACCUUUUUUGCACUGUUUUUUUCACUUUUUCUCUCAUUUUCCUCUGCAUGUCUCACUUUUAUUCACUUGCACUUUUGUGGCACUUUUCACUAUUCUAUUAUAAUUAAUGAAAAACAUGAAAAGUAUAUAUAUUAUUUUCAAAAAAUAUUUUUUUCCCUGCAAUGGGGAUUGAACCCCCUACGGGGUUGGUGUGUGUACAUGCCUGACCGCUGCACUGCCUCCACUCUAUGAGCGGCCUUGAUAUAUCUUGUAAUCUGACACAUGCAUACAUACACGGUGCGCUCCCUUCCGAGCUUUGUCCUCUGUAUUUUCUUAUUCUCUUUUUCUCUAUUUUUUUGUUUUUAAUGGCGCCUCUCUUCUCCAUCUUCCACUACCUGAUUAUUUCAGGCACGAUAUGCUUUUAUAUCCGCGCGUGUCUUUUUCGGAUCCUAAUACCUUUAUUCUUGGUGCGCACCGCGCGUGCGCGGGUUAUUCCCUCUGUCUCGCGGGAUGACGAUGGUGGACGCACCUUGUCAUCGCGCACGCGCGAUGCGCACCAAGAUGGCGCCAGAUAUCGGGACCAUGUCACCGAUCCAGGUGAACUAUAUUGUAAUUAUUUACCUAUAGAUCCCUAUUGGUUGGUAUGUUGUAUAUAUACCCCCACAAACUAGACUAGGUCAUACUCCCUGAGGAAGCCAAACGGCGAAACGACGUUGGGGUACUGGUGUUGUGUAGGUAGGUACACUGUCUAUGUCUUCCAGCCUGUGCUCUGUGAGUGGGGAAGUUCUCUGGGUAUGCUUAUCCACUGUGCUUUAACUGCACAUCUUUACUUUCCUUUCCCCUUUCUCCUGACCACUCGCUGGAGGCUAUAUAUGCAGUGACCUUCUUUUCUAGGUUAG